UCUGCUUGCCAUUGAAGUAAGGCCAUGAUCCAGAGUUUAUGAGUCCCUCAACAUCAUCAUAAGGCUCAUAAACUCACUGGUCAAUCCCUAGGCUGAGAGGCUUGUACUCUUUUCCUAAGUGUGGUUUUAUCCCAAAGGGUUUUCUAUGCUUAGGUUUUUAAUGAGGCAAGUACUCUCAGUUCCAAGCUUGCCCAAGGAUCUCCUAUGGUCAAGCUUGAGGGGAAGUGUUGACAUGAAGCAGAAUUAAGCAGCUAGACUUAAGAAUUAAGCUGCUAGACUUGAGAAUUAAGCUGCCACACUUGAAAAUACUUAUAAAGUCUUAUAAGGUCUUAUAAGGUUUUAUAAGGUUUUAUAAAGGUUUUAUAAGGCUUUAUAAGAAGCACCAGACUUGAGAUGUAAGCUGCCAGACUUGAGACUUGAGUGCCAGACUUGAGACUUGAG
This 441-nucleotide long non-coding RNA is filed under the name Brassica napus (rape). Its description in RNAcentral is "long non-coding RNA (BNAP_LNC022746)". Lineage: Eukaryota; Viridiplantae; Streptophyta; Magnoliopsida; Brassicales; Brassicaceae. The record is from RNAcentral.